RNAcentral lists this ribosomal RNA (274 nucleotides) under Paenibacillus sp. ISO165_OTU8029. RNAcentral's name for it is "partial 16S ribosomal RNA". It matches the Rfam family "Bacterial small subunit ribosomal RNA", at positions 29 to 289 of the family's 1533-position model. RNAcentral also lists the same sequence under 3 other names. The record is from RNAcentral. Lineage: Bacteria; Bacillati; Bacillota; Bacilli; Caryophanales; Paenibacillaceae.
ACGAACGCUGGCGGCAUGCCUAAUACAUGCAAGUCGAGCGGACUUGAAGAGAAGCUUGCUUCUCUGAUGGUUAGCGGCGGACGGGUGAGUAACACGUAGGCAACCUGCCCUCAAGUUUGGGACAACUACCGGAAACGGUAGCUAAUACCGAAUAAUUGUUUUCUUCGCCUGAAGGAAACUGGAAAGACGGAGCAAUCUGUCACUUGGGGAUGGGCCUGCGGCGCAUUAGCUAGUUGGUGAGGUAACGGCUCACCAAGGCGACGAUGCGUAGCCG